This 300-nucleotide ribosomal RNA is filed under the name uncultured Luteolibacter sp. RNAcentral's name for it is "bacterial SSU rRNA". It matches the Rfam family "Bacterial small subunit ribosomal RNA", at positions 496 to 795 of the family's 1533-position model. The record is from RNAcentral. Lineage: Bacteria; Pseudomonadati; Verrucomicrobiota; Verrucomicrobiia; Verrucomicrobiales; Verrucomicrobiaceae.
GCUAAAUGGGGGCGAGAAGCCGCGGUAAUAAGGGGGGUGCGAGCGUUAAUCGGAUGUACUGGGCGGAAAGCGCGCGUAGGUGGAUAAUUAAGUCAAAUGUGAAAUCCCCGAGCUUAACUGGGGAAUUGCAGUCGAUACUGGUUGGCUAGAGUAUGGGAGAGGAUGGUAGAAUUCCAGGUGUAGCGGUGAAAUGCGUAGAGAUCUGGAGGAAUACCGAUGGCGAAGGCAGCCAUCUGGCCUAAUACUGACACUGAGGUGCGAAAGCAUGGGGAGCAAACAGGAUUAGAUACCCGGGUAGUC